Molecule: ribosomal RNA, 247 nt
Filed under: uncultured bacterium
Lineage: Bacteria
Description: partial 16S ribosomal RNA
Rfam family: Bacterial small subunit ribosomal RNA
Source: RNAcentral
UAGUGGCGACCGGCGCACGGGUGAGUAACACGUAUCCAACCUGCCGAUAACUCGGGGAUAGCCUUUCGAAAGAAAGAUUAAUACCCGAUAGCAUAAUGAUUCCGCAUGGUUUCAUUAUUAAAGGAUUCCGGUAAAGGAUGGGGAUGCGUUCCAUUAGGUUGUUGGUGAGGUAACGGCUCACCAAGCCUUCGAUGGAUAGGGGUUCUGAGAGGAAGGUCCCCCACAUUGGAACUGAGACACGGUCCAA